RNAcentral lists this ribosomal RNA (253 nucleotides) under uncultured bacterium. RNAcentral's name for it is "partial 16S ribosomal RNA". It matches the Rfam family "Bacterial small subunit ribosomal RNA", at positions 524 to 776 of the family's 1533-position model. The record is from RNAcentral.
UACGUAGGGUCCGAGCGUUGUCCGGAAUUACUGGGCGUAAAGAGCUCGUAGGUGGUUUGUCGCGUUGUUCGUGAAAACUCACAGCUCAACUGUGGGCGUGCGGGCGAUACGGGCAGACUGGAGUACUGCAGGGGAGACUGGAAUUCCUGGUGUAGCGGUGGAAUGCGCAGAUAUCGGGAGGAACACCGGUGGCGAAGGCGGCAUCCUGGACCGAGAUUGACGCUGAUGCGCGAAAGCCAGGGGAGCAAACGGG